Molecule: ribosomal RNA, 522 nt
Filed under: uncultured Glomus
Lineage: Eukaryota; Fungi; Glomeromycota; Glomeromycetes; Glomerales; Glomeraceae
Description: SSU rRNA
Rfam family: Eukaryotic small subunit ribosomal RNA
Source: RNAcentral
AGCAGCCGCGGUAAUUCCAGCUCCAAUAGCGUAUAUUAAAGUUGCUGCAGUUAAAAAGCUCGUAGUUGAAUUUCGGGACUAAUAUGUCGGUCGUGCCUCGGUACGUACUGGUUUAUUGGUUUCUCCUUUCUGAAGAACCAUGAUGUCAUUUAUUUGGUGUCGUGGGGAAUCAGGACUGUUACUUUGAAAAAAUUAGAGUGUUUAAAGCAGGCUCACGCUUGAAUACAUUAGCAUGGAAUAAUGAAAUAGGACGUUUGAUUCUAUUUUGUUGGUUUCUAGGAUCGACGUAAUGAUUAAUAGGGAUAGUUGGGGGCAUUAGUAUUCAAUUGUCAGAGGUGAAAUUCUUGGAUUUAUUGAAGACUAACUACUGCGAAAAGCAUUUGCCAAGGAUGUUUUCAUUAAUCAAGAACGAAAGUUAGGGGAUCGAAGACGAUCAGAUACCGUCGUAGUCUUAACCAUAAACUAUGCCGACUAGGGAUCGGAUGAUGUUAAUUUUUUAAUGACUCAUUCGGCGCCUUACGG